GGGCGGCUAGCUCAGUUGGUUAGAGCGUUGCUUUCACACGGCAGAGGUCACUGGUUCGACUCCAGCGCCGCCCA
This 74-nucleotide transfer RNA is filed under the name Planctomycetaceae bacterium. Its description in RNAcentral is "tRNA-Val". It matches the Rfam family "tRNA". Rfam says of the family: Transfer RNA (tRNA) molecules are approximately 80 nucleotides in length. Their secondary structure includes four short double-helical elements and three loops (D, anti-codon, and T loops). The record is from RNAcentral. Lineage: Bacteria; Pseudomonadati; Planctomycetota; Planctomycetia; Planctomycetales; Planctomycetaceae.